GGGGAUGACUGGUUUCGACUUGGAACGGUAGUUCUAGGAGAAGCGGGCCGAGGACUCAGGGUUAUCUCGUUAACGAUCCUUGAAACCAAUAAGUGCCGACACUGUUCGCACUGACUUCGCUCUCGCUGCCUGAUCAGCGAUCGAAGGGUCAGCCUGGGGGUGCCUUCCCUCCAGUACCUGGCCUCAUCUAGGAGGCUCCACCGUGGUACUCACGUCCUAGGGGUACGACGGGACAUUCAUAGGACUGGGCUUGUUCAUGACGUGCUUGCCGAGAGCAUGAGAGCCAAGUAGAACGUAAAGUGUAGCUGCGCCCGGAGAAUGCCUAGGUCUCCUUUCAAGGACGGGGGUUCGAUUCCCCCCAUCUCCACAA
RNAcentral lists this transfer-messenger RNA (370 nucleotides) under Propionibacteriaceae bacterium. It matches the Rfam family "transfer-messenger RNA". Rfam says of the family: Bacterial tmRNA, also known as 10Sa RNA or SsrA, is named for its dual tRNA and mRNA-like properties. Its role is to liberate the mRNA from a stalled ribosome. To accomplish this part of the tmRNA is used as a reading frame that ends in a translation stop signal. Lineage: Bacteria; Bacillati; Actinomycetota; Actinomycetes; Propionibacteriales; Propionibacteriaceae. The record is from RNAcentral.